Cyprinus carpio carpio is the source of this 7378-nucleotide long non-coding RNA. The record is from Ensembl. NCBI's taxonomy places the organism in Eukaryota, Metazoa, Chordata, Actinopteri, Cypriniformes, Cyprinidae.
CUCACGCUCAUGUGAGGCACCAAUAACAUGGGCUAAAUUACCAGCACUUAUUUGCUGCAUCCCCUGCAAGAGCCUGAACUCCCCUGUUUACGGCCAUGCCCUAACAUCCCAUUCUCCCCCAGCCAUGAUCUCAAAUCCGGCACUUUGAAAACCCUCAUCCUGCUUUUCUCACAAGAUUGUGAGGAUUCACCUGUGGAUUAAAUGGGGACAACAAAAAAGAACAUCUUUUCCUGAGUGGGAUUUAACAUCAACUGGGUGAAACGGUCCAAAUAAGAUUGGGAUACACAAGCGAAAUCAAAGGACACUCGGCUGAAGUACCACCAUGGCUCAGGCAACUAAAGGUCCCGUGGUGAAGUCCAUCCCUCCCACUGGUGUAGCUGCCCCGGCUAGAACAGCACACACAGACUCACUUACUGCCGGGAGCCAUGGAAUUUUACGAAUCAUGAAUCGCCCGGCACAGUGGGUGGUCAUCAUCACACUUCUGAUUUCUUGGUCAAUAGCAGGUGUUGUCAUGUUUGAUUUUGUCAGUGACGAUCAGAUUGCAAGCAUCCAGGAUUUUGGCUCUGAUCCAGUGCUAGCAGUGAGCAAGGCCAUCGAAGGCAUUGAAAACUGGAUAAACCAUAUGAACGAUAUGCUUUAUGAUGCUCACGAGUACAUCACUGAAAUAAUAUUUAAUCCGAGGGAAGCUAUUAGUUUAGCAGCUGACUCAUCUGUGUCUUAUCUGUCAGGAAUAUUUAGUGCUGAUGGAGAUUCAGGAGUCACUGAAACAGUGAAAUAUGGUGGCACUGUAUUGGAUGAGGCUACAGAAUGGAUCAGAACCCCAGUGAGCUACUUAUUCCACUUGUUUGAAGACAUAUUGGAUAUAGUGAUUACUCCAGUGGAUAUGGUCACUGAAGUUGCUGUGCAAAUUUUAAGUGGGAUCAAGACCAUUAUACAAUAUAUUUCAACCAUGUUUGGGGGCAUUGAAGGGGAUACAGGCAUCACUGAAACAGUGAAACUUGGUGGUACUUUAUUGGAUGAGGUUACUGAAUGGAUCAGAUUCCCAGUGGGCUACUUAUUCCACUUAUUUGAAGGCAUCUUGGAUGUAGCAAUCAUUUAUCCAGGGGACAUUGCCACUGAAGCAGUUCUGCAAAUUUUAAGUGGGAUCAAGACCAUUUCUUCAACCAUAUUUGGAUACCUUGAAGUUUGGUUUCCCAAAAUGAGCACUGGUCCCGCAGAACUGGCUGAAAUUGUUGUAGAGAAGGCCACAGACAUAAAGACCACUGUCUCUAAUUACCUAACCAGUCUGUUUGCAGUGGAUGAAGGUGGUAUUCCUGACAUUAGCUUUGAUCCCAUGAAAGUUGUCACAGACACUGUUGAGGAGUUUGCUGACAGGAGGGAUAUGUUCUUGGCCUAUCUCUCCAACAUGGAAGACAAAGAUGACACACCGCAAGUGAUAAGACGGAAAGGAGAAUUUCUGCCCCCUAUGGAAAAAGUUGCAGAAAUAGUAGGCAAAACACAGGACCCUGCUUAUGCUGCCUACAUUGCUGUGAGAUCCACAGUGAAGGAGACAGACAACACUAAAGUAAUAAAAGAGGUUGAGGAGGAACAUGGUGAGCUGGAAUCUGCUGAAGAUGCAACUGAAAAAGCUCAAGAUAUACAAGUAGAUGUUACAAAGGAGGAAGGAAGAGUUGAACCAGCUGAGGACAGCUCUGAUGUCACAGUUUACGAUGAUGAGGUUGUCUCAGAUGUCAUGGAGGAGGAUAAAACUCCUGGAACAGUUGAAGAUAUUUUGGAUGUUACAGAGGAGGAACCUUCUGUUAUGCCAGAAGUCAUAGAUGAGGAAUUAGCUACUGAAAAGGUUGAAGAUAUCUCUGAUUUCAUAGAGGACAAGUCAGCUAUGAUGGCCUCUGAUGCGACAGAAGACACUGAUGAUGCCUCUGCAGUUACAGAGGAGAAAGAAACAACUGAAACAAUUGAAGAAGCAGCAAUUGAAACAGCAGAAGAUACUUCCAAUAUUACAACCAAAACUGAAUUGAAUACAGAUGAAAAUGAAUUUCAGAAAAUUCCCAAUAUUACAGAGGAGGAUGCAGAACUUGAAACAGUUAAAGAUACUUCUGAUCUCAUAGGUGAGAUAGAAGAACCUGAGACAGAUGAAUAUGCCUUUGCUGUCACGGAAGAAACAGCUGAAGAGUCACUAGAAGAAGAACAGCCACCAGAAUUGACUGAAGCUACUCAAGAUACCAUCUGUGUGAAGGAAAAGAUUGCAGCAAAAGAACUCAAUGAUCAUGAAGUCCCAGGUAAGGAUGAAUUAAAAGAGGAAGAUAAGCAGAGAAAGGAAGAUGUGGCAAUUGCUGAUGCUGAAAACAGCACAAAAAACCUGGAGAAUGAGGUAGAUGAAGAUGAGGUUGAGGUGGAGACUAAAGAUCAAACUAUCUUGGGAACAUCUGCUGGUGAAGAUGACCUUGACAAUGAAGAGGAGCUUGUCCUUUCUCCUGUCCAGCAUGACCUCACAGACAGAAAUGAUGAAAAUAACAAUAACAAUGACAGGAUGAGAGAUGCCAUAAAAACAGGCCUGAGCAGGAGAAAAACAUCAAAGAGCCAUUCCAUUGGCACAAACCACCAAGAAGCACACGAGGAUCUUCAUGAAGAGUCUCACAAAGUUCUUGAACAAGUGAAAGAAGCCAAAGAGAAAAAAGCUAGAGAGGAGAUAUACAAAAUCAUUCAAGAUAUGAGGGAAAAGAAGGCUGAAAGUAAAGAGGAAGAGAUAACACUGCAACGAAUAAACAUAACAGUAGAAAAAGUCAAGAAGAAAAAGGAGAUAGAAAAGGCUAAAAGAAAAGAAAAAUCCAAAGAGGACAAGACUCGAGAACCAACAGAAGCUAAAAUGGCCAAAAAAGAGACCAAACUAGCAACAUCUAAGAAAGAGCCUCGAGUUACAAAAGAAAAGGCUAAACCAGCUCGUUCAAAGAAAGAGCCUGAGGUUUCCAAAGAGAAGGCCAAGCUGAAGCCCUCAAAGAAAGAAGCUAAAGCUCCCAAGGACAAAAUUAAACCGGCCCUUUUGAAGAAAGAGCCUGAUGUUUCUAAGGAGAAAGAAAAACCACCAACUGCAAAGAAAGAAGAAAAGCCAACAACCGCUAAAAAAGAGCCUGCAGUUGCAGAAGAGAAAGUCAAACCAGUGCCCUCAAAGAAAGAUACUAAAGCUAUUAAGGAGAAAGUGAAACCAGCCCCAGUUAAGAAAGAGCCUGAGGUUUCCAAAGAAAAAGCCAAGCCAAAACGUUUAAAGAAAGAGGCUAAAUCUGUUGAAGAGAAGGCAAAACCAGCACCAGCUAAAAAAGAGAAGGAGAAACCUCCAAAGAAAGCUGUAAAAGAAAAGCCCAAACCUGCUUCUGUAAAGAAAGAACCUAAAUUUCCAAGAGAGAAAGCAAAACCUAAACCUUCCAAAAAAGAGGCAGAAGUUGCCAAAGACAAGCAUAAACCUGUCACUGUGAAGAAAGAACCUGCUGUUGCAGUUGAAAAGGCAAAACCGAAACCUGCACCAAAGAAAGUUACCAAAGAGAAAGCUAAACCAGAACCUGCAAAGAAAGAACCUGAGAUAACCAAAGAAAAACCGAGAGCACCAAAGAGAAAGGCUCAAGUUAUUAAGGAGGAAGCUAAACCAGCUCCUGCAAAAAAAGUCUUCAAAGAUGUUAAACCAGCCCUUAAGAGAAGAGAGGCUAAAGUAAUGAAGAAGAAAGUUAAACCGACUCCUGUAAAGAAAGAGCCUGAAGUUGCUAAAGAAAAGGCACCUGAAUCAGCACCAAGAAUAGAAAAGCCAAAGCCAGCACCAAAGAUAGUGGCUAAAGUCAUCAAGGAGAAACCUAAACCAGUUCCUGAGAAGAAAGAAGCUGUAAUCAUCAAAAAGAAAGUUAAACUGGCUCCAGUAAAGAAAGCACCUGAGAUAAUCAAAGAAAAGCCAAAGCCAGCACCAAAGAAAGAGGCUGAAGUCAUCAAAGAGAAAGCUAAACCAACUCCUGAAAAGAAAGUCAUCAAGGAGAAACCUAAACCAGUUCCUGAGAAGAAAGAAGCUGUAAUCAUCAAAAAGAAAGUUAAACUGGCUCCAGUAAAGAAAGCACCUGAGAUAGUCAAAGAAAAGCCAAAGCCAGCACCAAAGAAAGAGGCUGAAGUCAUCAAAGAGAAAGCUAAAGCAACUCCUGAAAAGAAAGAGACCGAAGUCAUCAAGGAGAAAGUUAAACCAGCCCCUGUAAAGAAAGAACCCAAAAUAACUAAGGAAAAGCCAAAGCCAGCACCAAAGAAAGAAGCUUUAGUCAUCAAAGAGAAAGCUAAACCAGCCCCUGUGAAGAAAGAGUCUGAAAUUAUCAAGGAAGAAAGAAAGAAAGCUAAACCAGCUCCUAAGAAGAAAGUGGCUGAAGUCACCAAGGAGAAAGCUAAGCAAGCUCCGAUGAAGAAAGAGCCUGAAGUCACUAAAGAAAAGUUAUUAGAACCAACUCCAAAAAAAGAGCUCCUGAACUCUAUCAGCCAAAAACUGUCUCUUCUGGAUUUACUGAGGAAGGACAUUGGUGAAAUGAAGAGUGAUCUGGAGUCCACUCAAAAUCAAAUUACGCUUUUACGAAUGGACAACAGAACAAUCAAAGAGCCAAAGACUGUUGGUGUAAAGGUAAAACCAGCAGUCUCCAAGGAAAAGGUCAAAACAGCAAAAAAAGACCAUGAUGCUCUGAUGAACGUUACAGCACAUAUUAAAGCAGAAGCUGAAAUCAUCAAAAAGAUAAAAGAUAAAGUUAAACUGGCUCCUUUAAAGAAAGAACGUGAUGCACUGAAAAACAUCACUAAACCAGCACCUGCAAAGAAAGAUAAAGAGGCUCCAAAAGCUAAGAUCAGACCACAGCCCAAAAAGAAAGAAAUCACCCAUGAGAAGGUCAAACAAGUAAAGGAACCUUUACAGAAAGUCGAGCCAACUAAGAAGGAGGCUGUUGUGGGCAAGGAAGUAAAAGGAGAAGAACCUGAUGUCUCCAAAGAUAUUCCAGAGAUGGAGGAUGAGGAUGUUCCCUACUUCCAGUGUUUCUUUGUGGAUGAGGAUGAUACUCAGUAUCCAUUCUUCCCCUUUUCACCACCGCUGUGGUGAAACUAGCCAAACCUCGUAUUCUGAUGUUAAACAACAUGGCAAAGCCAGUGAAGACGGACCUCUGAACGCUCUGAUGCAGUGGAGAGCUUCACAGUAGGUCCUACAGCAUUACACCAGCAAUGACCAAGAAAUGUGAAAGAGAUUUAAGUUACUUCCUGGAUCUUAAAACUCGAAAACUUCCUUCUCAGAUUCUUUGUCAUUUUGAAGAACAGAGUUUGCAAAUAUUGCGCUAUUUAUUAUAUCAUCUUAAGGCUAUCCAUCUUUUUAUUAAUACCAUGGAUUUGCCUUUUGUUUCUGAAUGAUUACUAUCUAUUUAUGAUUAAUAUAUAUGUCCAAGAAGGACAGGAAGAAAUGAAAGAACUAACUUCCUUUCUGAACAUGCAGUGGGGUUCAGGAUUGUAAGAUUAUAUAGUCUUUUAUAUAAACAUGAGGCGUGACCUCGUUUUGAUGGGGUGCUAAUUCUAAGCAUUCCACUGUGUUUUCUGUCAGAAUGGGGUUUGGAAGUUGUUCACGGUUCGUACAACUGGAAGGAAGGAUAUAAUAAAACAAGAAAUAUGUAAACUAUUUCAUAUAUCCUUUCUUAGUGAUACCGUUUACUAAACUGUUUACAGAAGUAACAGCUGCACUGAGAAAUACGGGCUUUGGACCGUAAGCUCAGUUCCUCAGAAUGUAUACAUCAUUUUAUUUAUAUAUUAUUUUUAUUUUGUUUUAUUCCUCUCUCUUUUUUAGCUUUCCAUACAUUUUACUUAAUAUAACUUGCCAAAUGUUUUAUAAAUCUAUACUUCAGAGGAAACAAAUAUGUUUUGUUCAGUGCUCUUUAUAAAUGAUUUUGCAUAACAAAAUUAAGAUAAGCUGUUGUGCUAAAUCCAAGAAAAAGCAUCAAACAUCAAGGCAACUACGUUGUUCUAGUAUAUCACAUUGCAAACACUACUGUUUUUACUUUUAUCUGCAUAACAUUAAUAGUUUAUUUAAGAUAAUGUCUGUAAAAAUGUGGGUGUGUUUUUGCAAUAUUACAUGGAUAGACCUACCUAAUAGAGAAGAGACAAUUAAAUAGCAUUCUGAAUUGUGUAACAAAAAUUGUCUGUUCCACAUUAUACUCAUACAGAAGAUUUUUUUUUAUUAUUAUGGGAUAAUGUGUCAAAUUAAAUUUAUUGCAUGCAACCACCGUGUGUUUCAACACUGCCCCUGGUGGCUCCCUGGCUCAUUACUCCAUUGCUUGAUUUAAUGAUAUUGAGUGUUUAAUGGUAUGUACUAGUGAGACACACCAUUAAACUAGUGUGCCGGUGGGCUGCCCUGGAGACAUUUCUUUUACUGCCACUGUCUUUUCUGUAUGAGUUCAGCAUGUGGCUCCAUUGAACAUAAACUCAUGUCUGUACAAAGAGCUUUUUUACCUCUGAUGUUAAGUAACUUAGGGUGAUCGUACGUUCUGUUUUUCCCAGACAUGUCCUGGCCAGGAUUUCUAAAUUGCCUAAAAUGUCAUUUUUUUGACUUUCUGAAGGUAAUGACUGUAAAGUAGUUUCACCAGCAUGCAGGCAUUGUGCUUAAUCGACCAGUUGUGGCCUGCGAGAAGGUGGGAUCUACAGAGAAGAGUCAAAGCAGUGCAAAUACAUGUACACAUAAUGUCUGAGGACUCUAGAGAGGAAACGCCAAAACCUGGACAUUUUAGGCAAUGUAGAAAUCCCGAUCAGGAUAUGUCUGGCAAUAAGAGGAUGUAUAGUCAACUGUACAAAUACAUAUUGUAGCAAUGCUCACUUGUAACAGAUAUACAGGUCUUUUUUGGACUUUUUUGGACUUUUCAAGUAAAUUAUGAGCUUGUUGGUGUGUUCUCAAGCAAACUGUGAAGCAAUGAAUAACAGCAUUUUUCAAUAGUUCAUAUAGUUCUUUAAGAUAUGUGUACUGUUAUUUUAAACCUAAUUUACAGUUCAUAUUUGAAAAAUGUUCCUCAAAGAUAAUAGUUUGCAUGAUGUUUGCAUGAAUUUUGUUUAAAAAUGUAUCUAAACCAGACCAUAUUUAAUUUGUGUGUGUUUUUAAUUGGAAUUACAUAAUUUCAUUGAAAAUGUAUAAUGUAAUAUUAUAUUCAUUUGGGUUUGUUUGUUUUUUUGCAUGGUUUUGAAGUUAGAUGUUGAAAACAUUCUCUGUACAAUGUAUAGCCAUAAACUGAAAUCAUAUUUAUAAAGCUCUAAACAGAAUCAACAAUAUGGUCUCCAGUCAAAAAAAAAAAGGCCUGUAUGCAACUGUAAAUGCUAUUGUAACUGUAAUACAGACUUGAUACAGUCU